This 76-nucleotide transfer RNA is filed under the name Kiritimatiellia bacterium. RNAcentral's name for it is "Kiritimatiellae bacterium (wastewater metagenome) tRNA-Met". It matches the Rfam family "tRNA". From Rfam's summary of the family: Transfer RNA (tRNA) molecules are approximately 80 nucleotides in length. Their secondary structure includes four short double-helical elements and three loops (D, anti-codon, and T loops). Further hydrogen bonds mediate the characteristic L-shaped molecular structure. tRNAs have two regions of fundamental functional importance: the anti-codon, which is responsible for specific mRNA codon recognition, and the 3' end, to which the tRNAs corresponding amino acid is attached (by aminoacyl-tRNA synthetases). tRNAs cope with the degeneracy of the genetic code in two manners: having more than one tRNA (with a specific anti-codon) for a particular amino acid; and 'wobble' base-pairing, i.e. permitting non-standard base-pairing at the 3rd anti-codon position. Lineage: Bacteria; Pseudomonadati; Kiritimatiellota; Kiritimatiellia. The record is from RNAcentral.
GGCGGGGUAGCUCAGUUGGCAGAGCAGAGGACUCAUAAGCCUAAGGUCACCGGUUCGAUCCCGGUCCCCGCCACCA